GAGUAACGCGUAUGCAACCUACCUAUCAGAGGGGAAUAACCCGGCGAAAGUCGGACUAAUACCGCAUAAAACAGGGGCACCGCAUGGUGAUAUUUGUUAAAGAAAUUCGCUGAUAGAUGGGCAUGCGUUCCAUUAGGUAGUUGGUGAGGUAACGGCUCACCAAGCCGACGAUGGAUAGGGAACUGAGAGGUUGGUCCCCCACACUGGUACUGAGACACGGACCAGACUCCUACGGGAGGCAGCAGUGAGGAAUAUUGGUCAAUGGGCGGGAGCCUGAACCAGCCAAGUCGCGUGAAGGAAGAAGGAUCUAUGGUUCGUAAACUUCUUUUGCAGGGGAAUAAAGUGCAGGACGUGUCCUGUUUUGUAUGUACCCUGAGAAUAAGGAUCGGCUAACUCCGUGCCAGCCGCAGC
Molecule: ribosomal RNA, 411 nt
Filed under: uncultured bacterium
Lineage: Bacteria
Description: bacterial SSU rRNA
Rfam family: Bacterial small subunit ribosomal RNA
Source: RNAcentral